Molecule: long non-coding RNA, 1057 nt
Filed under: Homo sapiens (human)
Lineage: Eukaryota; Metazoa; Chordata; Mammalia; Primates; Hominidae
Description: MAP3K14 antisense RNA 1
Source: RNAcentral
GGGCGGGCGGACGGGGGACGGCCCGAGUGAGGCGUCCUCCGAAGGCUGCGGGCCCGAAGCCAGAACUCCUUCCUCUCCGAAGACCUCGGGGGUGGGGCUCGCGCUUCCGCAGCGGGCCUAGAGCGAGAGGCAGGCGGCAGGUCAAGAGACUGCUCUCCUCCCCAAGCUAGGGGAACCUUCUGGGACUCCAUCAACUGACAAUGAGGGGAUAAUGGUCCCUCACUGCCCCAUCAGGAAAGGCUCAUGGGUGAUUGGGACCUUUGCUUGAAACCCAACUUACUGGCCAGGAACCUCAAGUUCUGGGACCAGGCGCCUUCCUCCCUCCCACUGUGCCAGAGGAGGGGAGACAAAAUCCCUCAAUGGCUGUCUAGCUCCAGGCAGAUCAGCUGCCACGGGGACUGCUGAGCAGGUGGGAAUUGGACUGUACCAUUGAAAUAGCUUGGGGUGUCGGUGGGCCGCCCCCGGGCCAGCACCAUGUUCCAGCUGGAGCUUCGAGCCUCGGCCUGGCUGCUCCAGGAGUGUACGCCUGAGCUCAGGGUGUCCCGCGAGCUUUGAGAGGCCUUUGAUGGGUUCUGAAACAACAGGAUUGGGGAGAGGCUGUCGAUGCUGAGGCACGAGAGAAUUUGCUCCUGCUCCUCCAGAGAAAAUGGCUGGGACAGGCUGUUGAGGAAUAAUUCUGCAGGGAAAAGUGGAAGAUGGCUGUGAAAGACUGGGAGGAGGCUGGCUGUGUUUUCAGGGGUUCUUCCUGCACAGUCGGUAGAAGCUGAGCUGCUGGGGAAGGGGCUGGAAGAAAGCCCACACCGCAGGUAUCAGUAGCAAAUUCAAAAACUACAGAAUCAGCUCCAGAGGACUUUGUUAACAAGAAAGAGAAGAUUGAAAACAGCCCUGGGGCUACACCAACUCAAGAGCUCCCAGGCAAAGUGGCAUCCUGGACCCACCAUCUCUCCUACCCCAUCCUCAGUCGGUACUUCCCCAGGCACCGUUUGUUCUGGCAUGGGGCUAGUUCAGCCCUGGGACCACCCUCAUCCUUAUAACUACCAGCUGUCUUUGGUGAGGU